Molecule: small nuclear RNA, 107 nt
Organism: Mesocricetus auratus (golden hamster)
Lineage: Eukaryota; Metazoa; Chordata; Mammalia; Rodentia; Cricetidae
Source: Ensembl
GUUCUCACUUCAGCAGCACAUAUACUAAAAUUGAAACGAUACAGAGAAGAAUAGCAUGGCUCCUGCACAAGGAUGACACACAAGUUCUUGAAGUGUUUCAUAUUUUU